CUUUUGGGAUGGUGCACAGCUGUAAAAAAAAAAAAAAAAAGAAAAAAUACUCGCUUUUACUGAUGUCAGAUUUCAUCUCAUCGUGGCUGAUUUGAGUCCUUUGUGCAGCUCCAUCUUCAUUUAUGUUGCUUAUUAGUCAAUGUCUCGUGUGUGUGCUUUACAUACAUGUGGAGCGGAGGAUGGGGGGUGCUCGGAUUGCUCAUCUAAAUAGCGUCGCAGGUGAUGUGCACGCACUUGUUGAGCCUUCGGGCUUUUCUCCAAAUUGAGGAAGUAGUAGAAUCUUUUGGGGCUUUUUCUUUCUUUUUCAGAUGCUUUUGUGUUCCAUCAGUCCAUAAAGGUAUGCCUGGAUGAGUUUGGUGUGGAAGAACUGGACUCCGGGUGGCAUGACCAUAUGAUUAGGAAGUCGGGAAUAGCGAGUGAUUCCAAACACAACCUGCAUCAUUCCAAAGUGUCGUGCGGGCUCAGAGGUGGUCCCCGGCAUGGCAGCUCUCGUCGCCGUGGAUAAUAAGCACGGGGAAGAAGAAGGCAUCCUGCACGCCUCGGGUCUCCUCAUCGUCCUGCCUGGAUCCCAAGCCCAGGAAGCCGCCCGCGCCCCCGCCCCC
Hippocampus comes (tiger tail seahorse) is the source of this 602-nucleotide long non-coding RNA. RefSeq lists it as uncharacterized. The record is from RefSeq and is a predicted model, not a curated record. NCBI's taxonomy places the organism in Eukaryota, Metazoa, Chordata, Actinopteri, Syngnathiformes, Syngnathidae. The transcript has 3 exons.